RNAcentral lists this ribosomal RNA (252 nucleotides) under uncultured bacterium. Its description in RNAcentral is "partial 16S ribosomal RNA". It matches the Rfam family "Bacterial small subunit ribosomal RNA", at positions 524 to 776 of the family's 1533-position model. The record is from RNAcentral.
UACGAAGGGGGCUAGCGUUGUUCGGAAUUACUGGGCGUAAAGCGCGCGCAGGCGGUCUUCCAAGUCAGUGGUGAAAGCCUGGAGCUCAACUCCAGAACUGCCAUUGAAACUGUUAGACUUGAGUACGAGAGAGGUGAGUGAAUUCCCAGUGUAGAGGUGAAAUUCGUAGAUAUUGGGAAGAACACCAGUGGCGAAGGCGGCUCACUGGCUCGUAACUGACGCUCAGGCGCGACAGCGUGGGGAUCAAACAGG